GCUUGUCUCAAAGAUUAAGCCAUGCAUGUCUAAGUAUAAAUGGUAUACAGUGAAACUGCGAAUGGCUCAUUAAAACAGUUAUAGUUUAUUUGGUAUUCGAAUUUACAUGGAUAACCGUAGUAAUUCUAGAGCUAAUACAUGCACCAAGCGCGCUUUUACGAGCGCGUGUAUUUAUUAGAUACAAUCAACCCUUCGGGUUUUGAUGAGUCAUAAUAACUGAACUAAGCGCAUGCUUUGGCGGCGCUGUUUCAUUCAAGUUUCUGCCCUAUCAGCUUUCGAUGGUAGGGUAUUGGCCUACCAUGGCGUUCACGGGUAACGGAGAAUUAGGGUUCGAUUCCGGAGAGGGAGCCUGAGAGAUGGCUACCACAUCCAAGGAAGGCAGCAGG
Molecule: ribosomal RNA, 386 nt
Filed under: uncultured Bicosoecida
Lineage: Eukaryota; Bigyra; Bicosoecida
Description: partial small subunit ribosomal RNA
Rfam family: Eukaryotic small subunit ribosomal RNA
Source: RNAcentral